GCCUAGUUAGCUUAGCUGUUAGUAGUGCGUCUGCCUUGUAAGCGCUAGACCGCGGGUUCGAUUCCCGCCCGGGGCG
This 76-nucleotide transfer RNA is filed under the name Diaphorina citri (Asian citrus psyllid). It matches the Rfam family "tRNA". Rfam says of the family: Transfer RNA (tRNA) molecules are approximately 80 nucleotides in length. Their secondary structure includes four short double-helical elements and three loops (D, anti-codon, and T loops). The record is from Rfam by way of RNAcentral. Lineage: Eukaryota; Metazoa; Arthropoda; Insecta; Hemiptera; Psyllidae.